UUGGAUAAGCAAUAAUAGCAAUUAGAUGUCGUCAGGCUGGGCACAUAACUUUUGCAUAUCUUUUCGCAAUGGCAUAUUUUUUACACAUUAUCGUAAAUGUGACACAGUAUCGUAGUACCAUCUUCUUUAAUCACGUGAAUGAAAACCAAAUUUGAAUUACUUGGGAUCAUGUUUCAAGGAGGUAUAACAGAACGAAGGAAUAAAUUUUACAGCAAAGAACAGUAUAAUUCUGAUGAAAGAAGGAAUAACUCAUCACUCAACGCUCAGAAUAUGAUUUUUCCAUAUAUUGGACCCCCUGGUUCAGGACCCGGUUUAUUAGGUAACCGACCUGGCGCCGGUAAAACAGAAUAUCUUAUUGCUUUAGAACAUUAUGCUGCUAGUUUAAAGCGUGCCUUAACUAUUAUAACUGAGUUGAAGAAUCAAAAGAAUAAAGACUUGGAUGUUGAACUGGAGUGUGAUUCCGUCUGCAGUAUUGAAAGUGAACUUAAAAACAAGAGUGACGACAGUGCUUCCAGCCUAUAACUGCAAGAUAAACUAUCCUUUAAUUGACUUAUUUGCAUUUAUGUUUUAAAAAUUAUAUGAUCAGUUAUAUCAUAAAGUGAUAUUUACAUUAUCAAGACCAUUUUCUGAAAGGAGAUUUUAAGAAAUUCACUUUGUGAAAAGCACUGAGCAGUGGCUGAAUGGGGGGGAAGAGAAUCUAUAUCAAUCAUGUUUAUUGUUGUUCCAAUUUAUUAACGUUUAUCAUAAACUAUAGUUUCAUACAACUGUAUUUUAAACCUUUUGCUGUUUAUAUUUCUCAAAUAGUUUAUACUGUAAAUUAUUUCUGAUAUGUUUAAGAUGUAACAUGUUAUGUAGAUAAAACAUAGUUUAUUA
This 873-nucleotide unclassified non-coding RNA is filed under the name Stegodyphus dumicola. RNAcentral's name for it is "uncharacterized LOC118186104, transcript variant X1". Lineage: Eukaryota; Metazoa; Arthropoda; Arachnida; Araneae; Eresidae. The record is from RNAcentral.